Sapajus apella (tufted capuchin) is the source of this 4257-nucleotide long non-coding RNA. RefSeq lists it as uncharacterized. NCBI's taxonomy places the organism in Eukaryota, Metazoa, Chordata, Mammalia, Primates, Cebidae. The transcript is spliced from 2 exons. The record is from RefSeq and is a predicted model, not a curated record.
UCACUUGGAGAGGUCCAGGCUGCAGUGAGCCAUGAUUGUGCCAUUGCACUGCAGCCUGAGUGAUAGAGGGAAUCCCUGUCUCAAAAACAAGAAAACAGAGCUAGGGCUGAGGAGCCUAUGGCCACUCAGCCUGAGCCAGCCAGACCAGAGGAACUGAGCUCUCAGUCCUGUGGCUGCCAAGGAACCUCCCUCGAGCUUGCAGGGGUCGAGAGGGAGAGACAGAGGGACAGUCAACAGCCCUGUUAUCGGUGAUGCAGACUCCAGGAGAAGGGGGCAGGCUUGCAGAUCAGAAGAGGAGGCGAGCCCCUCUUCCAUGUUCCACCCCUACCAUCCUCCUGGGAACUCAGCUUGCCUGCCCUCCUAAAAGAUGCUUUUGCACUGAUUUAGUGAAUAUGCAAUGCAAAGGCCUAAUUGAAGACUCGUGAAUGGAGCGUACGGUGUUCAGUUCCUAGCUGAGGCACCCCUUGGGCUCCAUCUUUCCCUCAGGUUCCCCAUAUUUCCCUCAGCCUCCUUCUAGCAGGGGUGUGGAGGGCGUGAGUAUUGAUCUGUCCUUUGGCAUUAUGGCUGCUGCUUUUACUGACACAACUCCCAGGCCCAACCUGGCUUAAAGUCUUAAGUCGUAAGCCAAAAAAGAUGGGGAGCCAGGGCUCUGUGGCAGGGCUGGGGGUUGGGGUGCACUUUCGUUUUGUGGCAGGAUGAAGUCUGCAGUGGUUUUAUUAAUCAUGAUUGGCCUGGCAGUAGCUGUAGGCCAAGGGGGAUGGGUUUGUCAGUGGUGGUCCCCUAGAUAUCCCUGUGCCCAGCCCUGGCCUGUUUGCCCUCAUGCCCAACAAGAGGUGCUGCCACAGGUUCUGACUGCCCCCCCCCACUCCCUGCACCCCAGAUGGACAUAACCUUGGGGUCUACAGUCUGAAUAUAUCAUUCUCCCCAUUUUAACUUGAGCUGCCUGACACAGGGAGGGUGGGGUGAGUAAGGGACCUGGGGAACCAGGGCCCAAUCAUGGAUCCUGGGGAAAGGUUACAGACACAAGAGGGAUUGCCACCUCUCUGUGGAGCCCUGCUCCUGGCCACACAGCACCUUCUGCAGAGACUAGCUCUGUGGGUGGCAGGGAACCCCACAGGUCAUGGCUGCACCCUCUCUCCAUCUGUCUGUGCCUGCUAUUGGAGCCUGGACUGGGGGAAGAGAUUACUACUCUGUGAGCCUGAGGGAGCCACAUUAGGCUGCGACCUCUGCCCGGGGCUUUGCAGAGAGCUGCUUAUGGGUAUAGUGUCACCAGACACCUUGUUUCAGAGGGGGUGGGCAUAGCUGGCAAGUGGAGCACCUCCACAGCUGCUGAGGAACUUUUUCUCAUUUUUAAACCAUCGUGUCUUCAUUUCACAUUGAAAUAAAGUGAGGUUUUGGAACCUGCUGCCCCAGUCUCAUUGGACUGCGAGGGCUGUUGUCAGGUUACUAGGAGAGGAAUUUGUAUAAAUUAGGUCAAAUUGAAGGUUAUGCUUGUACUGUCACCUGAGUGGGAGGUAAGAGGGUGGAGUCACAGGCAUUCAGUUGGGGUUUACCUGGCCGUCACUAGACUCAUGGGAUUGUGGCACAGGUGAACAUCCCAUCAUUGGUGACAAGAAAAAAGGCUGGAGUGAAGGCCAAGUGGGGGAGGGGUGCUAGGCUGUGGGGCCAGGCCCUGGGCAUGCUGGACCUUCUAGGUCACUGAACGUCUGACUGGGCAUGUGCCCCUGUCCCUUCAGUUGAGGUAGGAUUGGCAGCACUCCCCAGAUAGCAUGAGUGCCAGGAGAGUGGAGGAGGACCUGACGUUUGCCAUCCUGGGGUAGGGUUUAGAGCUCACUAGAUGCCUGUAGAGAGCUAAUGAGAUAGGAAGAAGUCAGCCCACCAUAAUGGACCUGAGGGACAGAGCCUGCGAAGUAAGAAGCGGGUGUGUGUGGGUGGCCCGUCUACAAGAGGGUAAAUUAAAGGCUCAUUGCAGUGGUGCUAUCUCAGCUCACUGCAGCUGAUGGCUGCUGCCAGGCCAUCCCUCUCCAGGGCAGGGAGGCCCUCAGCCUCAUCUGUAAUUGAAUGCCUUUUGGGAUGUUUGGAUAGUCCUUUAUUGCCUGAAAAUUCAGAAAAAAGAAACUACAAUCCUCAUGCCUGUUAGUUUCCCUGGGCCAAGUGUAAAAAAGAUGCCCCUGACCUCCAGAUUUUAAGUGACACCCAAGGGAAGCCACCAGUGCCUUGGCCAUUGAAGCCUCCUGCCUGCUCCCCAAACCCCCAGCAGUUCCCUCUGCAGUCUUCACAGUUGUGUCCUGACCCGUGCGGUAAGAUGGUGAGAGAAGUGCUAAGGGAUGGGAUGAGGGUCUUUACUGUGUUAUUAAAACGUUAAAGUUGUUUUAAAGGUGUCCAAAUGCCCUCCUUGUUAAAUUUAAUUAGGUAAUAAGAUGCUUUAUACAAGCAGAACCAGGUAAGGGAAAGCAAGUGCAUUUCAAGUCCUAGCUCACCUCAAAAUUAGCUGUAAUACCCACGGCAGGCGGCCGCACCUCAAAGAGCCUGUGUCCUGUUCAAAAAAAGAUGAACGAAUGAGGGGCGGGGUCUGGAGCUUUACCCAAUCAGGGGCGCUGGGGUGGAAAUCGUCCAAUCAGGAGCAGCCGGAGAGCAGGGGCGGCUUCCGGGAUUUGGCUGGGGCCUUUGUUGGCUGCAGUCGGAGCUCGGGUCGCCUCACCCUGGUUCCGAGUCCUCGGAUCCAAGAGACCCAGGCAGCUUCGCGGUCUGAGAAUAAACAGAGCCUUUGUUGCUCUGUGAGCUGCAGGCACGUGGAGAUCCGUAGCUAAGACGCCAGGACAUCCCGGAAACUGGGAAAUGAGUGGAGGAAUUGUGACAGCCGAUACCUAUGUUCCAUAUUCUGCAGCUAUCUGGAUGUCCGAGUUUAAUGCCAAAUUUUGUGAGACAGGACUUGGCACCCCCUAUAAGUGUUCACGUAUACUAAAUGAUCUGCUGUUAUGGAAGUAAAUGACAUGUUUAUUGUCUGAAAGAGGUAUUUCGGCUUUUCCUGUUGAGGCAUAAAGUGUAAGUGCCGUACAGUUUCCUUCCUUUCCAUAGAAACUGUGUUUGAGUGAUUUUCCUAUUUUCCUGAAACCUGUUAGGUCAUUGAACAUCUGACUGCUGGGCACCUGCCCUGUCCCUUCAGUUGAGGUGGGAUUGGCAGCACUCCCCAGAAGGUGUGCAGUGCCCGGAAAGCGUAGGAGGGCCUGACGUUUGCUGUCCUGGGGUAGGUUUUAGAGCUCACUAGAUACUUGAGGAGGGCUAAUGAGAUGGGAAGAAGGCAGCCCACCUCGAUGGACCCGAGGGACAGAGCCUGCGAAGGGAGAAGCGCGUGCGUGGAAUAACCCUGACUGGGAAGCAGAAGACCUCAGUCUUUGAGCCUGCAAAAGGAGGUCACUGAAGGCCCAGUUAGUUCCUCCUAGGGAGCGUCCCCUUCAGGUGUCCCUGAGGUUCACAGCAGCCAUGGAGGGAGCCCUUUGUACUGGGAGAAGCUGCAGAGUUCUGGAAAGCGGGGGAUUUGCAGGCGGAUGUGGUUGAGGAUGGACUGGAAGGGAGGUUGGGAGGCUCUUUCUGAGGGUGGAAUUGUUAGUGUCCUGGGGCUGUUUCUUGGCUUUGUCAAAUAAAGCAUCUGGAUUUAGGUAAGAAGUUCCUUAAUUCUAAAGGAGUAUUGCACGAGGAGGAAAGCACCGACUGUAAGAUUUUUGUGGAUCUCACAGUUUAGGCAGAAAAGGCCUUUCUUUCAUAGGGAGGAGCAAACAUGACUAAAGUUGGGAGGGGAAGGGCACAACUCUGGGGCAAAAUCAGAUCCCAGAUCAGAGAAUGUUUCACCCUAAGUCAGCCUGUUCUUAGGAGGGCCAUAAAGAGGGGUUGACUGUUGGCUCAGGCUGUGGGUGGGACAAAGUUCAGGGACCUGGAGGAGAGAAACUUAAGCAAGUUUGGUUAAUACAUAUUUUAUUCUGAUCACCAAAGACAAAACUCUUUAAUUGCUUAUGGGAGGGGGGGAAAGGAAAUAGGAGAGUCUGUGGCUUUGUGAUACCUAAACAGGGAACAUCAUUUAAGUCAUAAAGGAAAGAGUGAUUCUUUGCAGGAAGCUGUUCAUGGAGAACACAAAGGAAGGGGGAUUUCUUUCAUCACAGCUGCUUACCAGGGUUAACUGUCCACCCCGUCUUUCCCCAUUGCUUUCUCUUGCCCAUACAUCUCUUCCAUUUGGCUGAGUUGUAUCUUUUAUAAUAAACU